Molecule: ribosomal RNA, 471 nt
Filed under: uncultured bacterium
Lineage: Bacteria
Description: bacterial SSU rRNA
Rfam family: Bacterial small subunit ribosomal RNA
Source: RNAcentral
CAUCCAGACUCCUACGGGAGGCAGCAGUGAGGAAUAUUGGUCAAUGGGCGGAAGCCUGAACCAGCCAAGUCGCGUGAGGGAAUAAGGCCCUACGGGUCGUAAACCUCUUUUGCCGGGGAGCAAGGGCGGGGACGUGUCCCGGCCCGGAGAGUACCCGGAGAAAAAGCAUCGGCUAACUACGUGCCAGCAGCCGCGGUAAUACGUAGGGGGCAAGCGUUAUCCGGAUUUACUGGGUGUAAAGGGAGCGUAGACGGCGAUGCAAGCCAGAUGUGAAAGCCCGCGGCUCAACUGCGGUAGUGCAUUUGGAACUGUAUGGCUGUAGUGCAGGAGAGGCAGGCGGAAUUCCUAGUGUAGCGGUGAAAUGCGUAGAUAUUAGGAGGAACACCAGUGGCGAAGGCGGCCUGCUGGACUGUAACUGACGUUGAGGCUCGAAAGCGUGGGGAGCAAACAGGAUUAGAUACCCCGGUAUUU